GACGAACGCUAGCGGCGGGCUUAACACAUGCAAGUCGAACGAGGAAGCGGGUGCUGGCACUCGUGGAUUAGUGGCGAACGGGCGAGGAACACGUGAGUAACCUGUCCUUUUCUUUGGGAGAACGGCUGGAAGGGGCUGGUAGUACUGAAUAUGCAUGCCGCAUCUCAGGGGGUGGUUUGGAAAGGCAUUGUCUGGGAGUAGGUGGGCGCGCGGCCUAGCCGCUUGUUGGUGGGGUGAUUGCUUACCUAGGCUUUGACGGGUAGCUGGCAUGGGAGGGUGGUCGGUAGCAGUGGGACUGAGAUACGGCCCAGACUCCUACGGGAGGCAGCAGUGGGGAAUAUUGAACAAUGGACGAACGGUUGAUGCAGCGACGCGGGGUGGAGGGUGUAGGUCUUCGGGUUGUGCACUUCUUUUUCGCGCGAAAAAGGCACAGUUUUGGCUGUGUUGAUGGUAGUGGGAGAAGAAGCGCCGGCUAACUACGUG
This 483-nucleotide ribosomal RNA is filed under the name uncultured bacterium. RNAcentral describes it as "partial 16S ribosomal RNA". It matches the Rfam family "Bacterial small subunit ribosomal RNA", at positions 28 to 507 of the family's 1533-position model. The record is from RNAcentral.